Molecule: ribosomal RNA, 763 nt
Filed under: uncultured bacterium
Lineage: Bacteria
Description: bacterial SSU rRNA
Rfam family: Bacterial small subunit ribosomal RNA
Source: RNAcentral
UUGAUUUCCUUCGGGACUGAUUAUUUUGUGACUGAGUGGCGGACGGGUGAGUAACGCGUGGGUAACCUGCCUUGUACAGGGGGAUAACAGUUGGAAACGGCUGCUAAUACCGCAUAAGCGCACAGCAUCGCAUGAUGCAGUGUGAAAAACUCCGGUGGUAUAAGAUGGACCCGCGUCGGAUUAGCUAGUUGGUGAGGUAACGGCCCACCAAGGCGACGAUCCAUAGCCGACCUGAGAGGGUGACCGGCCACAUUGGGACUGAGACACGGCCCAAACUCCUACGGGAGGCAGCAGUGGGGAAUAUUGCACAAUGGGCGAAAGCCUGAUGCAGCGACGCCGCGUGAGCGAAGAAGUAUUUCGGUAUGUAAAGCUCUAUCAGCAGGGAAGAUAAUGACGGUACCUGACUAAGAAGCACCGGCUAAAUACGUGCCAGCAGCCGCGGUAAUACGUAUGGUGCAAGCGUUAUCCGGAUUUACUGGGUGUAAAGGGAGCGCAGGCGGUGCGGCAAGUCUGAUGUGAAAGCCCGGGGCUCAACCCCGGUACUGCAUUGGAAACUGUCGUACUAGAGUGUCGGAGGGGUAAGCGGAAUUCCUAGUGUAGCGGUGAAAUGCGUAGAUAUUAGGAGGAACACCAGUGGCGAAGGCGGCUUACUGGACGAUAACUGACGCUGAGGCUCGAAAGCGUGNGGAGCAAACAGGAUUAGAUACCCUGGUAGUCCACGCCNUAAACGAUGAAUACUAGGUGUUGGGAAGCAUUGCUUCUC